RNAcentral lists this ribosomal RNA (253 nucleotides) under uncultured bacterium. RNAcentral describes it as "partial 16S ribosomal RNA". It matches the Rfam family "Bacterial small subunit ribosomal RNA", at positions 524 to 776 of the family's 1533-position model. The record is from RNAcentral.
CACGUAGGGCGCAAGCGUUGUCCGGAAUUAUUGGGCGUAAAGAGCUCGUAGGCGGUCUGUUGCGUCCGCUGUGAAAACUCGGGGCUUAACCCCGAGCCUGCAGUGGAUACGGGCAGACUAGAGGUAGGUAGGGGAGAAUGGAAUUCCCGGUGUAGCGGUGAAAUGCGCAGAUAUCGGGAGGAACACCGGUGGCGAAGGCGGGUCUCUGGGCAGCAACUGACGCUGAGGAGCGAAAGCGUGGGGAGCGAACAGG